GACGAACGCUGGCGGCGUGCUUAACACAUGCAAGUCGAACGGAAAGGCCUUGUUUUUUUGGUCUGCUCGAGUGGCGAAAGGGUGAGUAAGACGUGUUUAUCCUUCCCUUUACUUUUGGUUAACUUCAGGAAACUGGGGUUAAUACUGGAUAUGAGCUCCUGCUGCAUGGUGGGGGUUGGAAAGUUUCGGCGUUUGGGGAUGGAUUCGUGGUUCAUUAGCUUGUUGGUGGGGUAGUGGCUUACCAGGGCUUUGACGGGUAGCCGGCCUGAGAGGGUGACCGGCCACAUUGGGACUGAGAUACGGAACAGAGGCCUACGGGAGGCAGCGGUAGGGAAUAUUGUACAAUGGGCGGAAGCCUGAUGCAGCAACGCCGCGUGCGGGAUGACGGCCUUCGGGUUGUAAACCGCGGUCGCCUGUGACGAAGCGUGAGUGACGGUAAUGGGUAAAGAAGCACCGGCUAACUACGUG
This 468-nucleotide ribosomal RNA is filed under the name uncultured bacterium. Its description in RNAcentral is "partial 16S ribosomal RNA". It matches the Rfam family "Bacterial small subunit ribosomal RNA", at positions 28 to 507 of the family's 1533-position model. The record is from RNAcentral.